Molecule: ribosomal RNA, 99 nt
Filed under: uncultured bacterium
Lineage: Bacteria
Description: partial 16S ribosomal RNA
Source: RNAcentral
CUUCGGAUUGUAAACCUCUGUCACCGGGGAAGAAACGCUUUGAGUUAAUAGUUCAAAGCCUGACUUAACCCGGAGAGGAAGCAGUGGCUAACUCUGUGC